ACAGGAUGAGGGAGGGCUUGAUCUGA
Molecule: non-coding RNA, 26 nt
Filed under: Cricetulus griseus (Chinese hamster)
Lineage: Eukaryota; Metazoa; Chordata; Mammalia; Rodentia; Cricetidae
Source: RNAcentral